UCAAGUUUUAUUGAAUCAGCGCGUUUAAAAGGUGUGUCAUAGGGUGGAGCGAGAGGAGGAGGGAUCAAAAUUAAUACAUACACACACACAUAUGUAUAAACAAGUAACUCCUGAUGUCGCCAGCACUAAAAUCACCACUUGAUCUUUUCUCAUGUAGGAGAAAUGAGCACCUACCAGAUUCAAUUAACGCAGGGUACAGGGAGGGGAGGGGGAGCGGAUGGCCACACAUGACGAGGAGGUGGGGGGCAACCACCUACCCAGAACCCACAGUCCAGGCGGCGGCGCGAGGAGGAAACGUCCCCCACAUCUCAUACCAGAUUCCACGCUUUAGACAUAAAGGCGGAACGAGGUCAUCCCCAAAUUCCACAAGCGAGGAGGAUACUGUCACCACUCGGAUCCCAGAACUCAAGGACAGAGAGGGCCGUCCCCACGCCGUUCCUGAUGGGAGGUAUCUAACUGCGGGCUGUCUAAAGUACCUCGGGUUAUCUUAGAAGACUGUUCCCUCCGGCUGAGGCCUUCACCCGAACUGCUUCUCCGACCUACGCGCGCUUCGCCUUCACGCCAGACCUCCUACCCCCCAUCAGGCUAACCGUUAUUCCCAGUUGUCCUUCCUACUUUUCAAGCUAGAGUAUUAAGUAAUGAAUGAUUCUUGGGGGUGUAUGAAAGAUUCCAAUACAAACAUGGGAUUAGGGAAUCCCAUAUUUAGGUGGAGCUAUCAAUGGGAAGGAAGGUAAGUCUUGAGGAAGACAGGAUGCAGCAAAACGGUUCUAUUUAAUAUGGGACAUUUAUUAGCCUGAGCCAGACAUAGAAGAGCCCAGAAAGGUGUACAUUGGUAUUUCUGUUUUGCAAGAAUGGAAAUAUGGAUUCAAAUAGCUAUUCAGGGCUAAAGCCAGGAUUUGAAUCAUAUACUAGUCACCUUUGUUAGGUGUGAGAAAGGACUACAACAUUUUUCGUCCUGGUAUUUCUCCGUGUUUAAAAACAGGGGAAUGAGGGAAGACAUCUUGAAUGCCUUUGGUGUCUACAUGUAAGGAAGUAGCCAUUUGAGGAUCCUUCUUCCUAACCCAGCUUUAGAAAGCAGCCCUUGGGUAGUGCCCUAUAGACCAGAGUGUGACCUAAUGACAAAAUAUAAUUUAAAAUAGAAAGUAGUAACCAGGACUAUUGCAGUGACAAGAACUCCUAACUCUAGUCAGGCUCCUCUAAAUUCCUCAAGGCCCUAAACUUGGGUUCUGUGGUUGGCCCCCAUAUUCCAGUUUUAGCAAGAAUCUAUCUGAGUCACUUUAACCCCUGUCUUGCAUCUGACCCCCUUAGCCUGCCUUCAGCAAAAAUCCUAUCAAGGAGGUUUAGCCAGAAUUCUCCUUAGCCCUGAUGUUUCUUCUUAGCAAUUUUCUAUCCAUUUAUCCCACCCUGUUCCUCGCCCAUAAAUCCAUGCUUGUCCUUUUUGUAUUCAGAAUAGAGUCCAGUUCUACAGUGAGCUCUCCCUUUCCCUAUUGCAACAGCUCCUGAAUAAAAUUUGCCUUCACUA
Long non-coding RNA from Nyctereutes procyonoides (raccoon dog), 1522 nucleotides. RefSeq lists it as uncharacterized. The record is from RefSeq and is a predicted model, not a curated record. The transcript has 2 exons. NCBI's taxonomy places the organism in Eukaryota, Metazoa, Chordata, Mammalia, Carnivora, Canidae.